UGUGUGACAUGGGGUAGUCUCAAAUCUAUCAGGGCGUCAGAGUGAGCUUGUGGAUUUCUAAUGUCCUCA
Molecule: non-coding RNA, 69 nt
Filed under: Ochromonas sp. CCMP1393
Lineage: Eukaryota; Chrysophyceae; Chromulinales; Chromulinaceae
Source: RNAcentral